RNAcentral lists this ribosomal RNA (253 nucleotides) under uncultured bacterium. RNAcentral's name for it is "partial 16S ribosomal RNA". It matches the Rfam family "Bacterial small subunit ribosomal RNA", at positions 524 to 776 of the family's 1533-position model. The record is from RNAcentral.
UACGGAGGGUGCGAGCGUUGUUCGGAUUCAUUGGGCGUAAAGGGUGCGUAGGUGGCGGGGUAAGUCAGGUGUGAAAUCUCGAGGCUCAACCUCGAAACUGCACUUGAUACUGCCUUGCUCGAGUACUGGAGAGGAGAUUGGAAUUUACGGUGUAGCAGUGAAAUGCGUAGAUAUCGUAAGGAAGACCAGUGGCGAAGGCGAAUCUCUGGACAGUUACUGACACUGAGGCACGAAGGCCAGGGGAGCAAACGGG